RNAcentral lists this long non-coding RNA (620 nucleotides) under Prunus persica (peach). RNAcentral describes it as "long non-coding RNA (PPER_LNC007008)". The record is from RNAcentral. Lineage: Eukaryota; Viridiplantae; Streptophyta; Magnoliopsida; Rosales; Rosaceae.
CUAAUAUGACGUGGUCAUUAACUUACCAUGACGGUAAUUAAAUAAAACCGUCAUCGUAUUAUAAGUUCAUAAAUAAAUAAAAAAAACCGCCCAAUUUUCUCUCUCCACAUUAUCAGACGACGGUUUUCUCUUCAAACGUCGUAUUUAUUAACACACCACGUCGGUUAGUAUGAACAGUCGUGCUAUUGAAAUAGCACGAAUUUAAUUACCGUCGUGGUGUGUCAACAAAAACGUCAAAUUCGAGAAAAACUAGUCGUCCUCACAUGACCUGUGAGUGAUAACAAUGAAUGGUUUGGCAAUUUCAAACCACCUUCUUGUCUCAAACAUCAGUGGGACUCAUUCUUUUAAAAUAAAAAACUUCAACUGAUAAGGAAAGUAAAUAAGAAAAAAAAAAAGGAGUGAGAAAGUUUUCAAACCUUUGGCUUGCAAAGAAAGUUUUCUUUGGAAUCAAAUUUUGGAGAUGAAGACGAGGAAGAACGUAAAAGUUGAGAAUCAGAAACGCAGCUUUUCAGAAAUGAGAGGGAAAUUGUGAGAAAACUGAAAAUUUUAGAGAGAACGUAAAAGUUUAGGUCAGGUGACCAAAAAGUUUAUAUAGUGUCCCAAUGAUAAACACAACGACG